GGCCGCAUGGCGCAAUGGUAGCGCGUCAGAUUCCAGUUUAGAUGGGAAUUCCUGAAGGUAUGAUGGGUCCGGUAGAUAUGACUGGGCUUCACAUGUUAACGCUGAUAGGCUCUCUGUUCGAAUCAGGGUGUGGUCA
This is a non-coding RNA of Lentithecium fluviatile CBS 122367, 136 nucleotides long. The record is from the annotation of a GenBank genome assembly. NCBI's taxonomy places the organism in Eukaryota, Fungi, Ascomycota, Dothideomycetes, Pleosporales, Lentitheciaceae.